UUUUUCAUGAAUUUUCUCUUUUCUUUUUUGUUUCAAUUGGUUAAAAAAAUACUUUUCUGCAUUUUAAAAUUCUUAAAAUUUUAUUAUGUGUUUCUCAUUUUAUUUCCAACCUUCCAUAAUUUUCUUGGCCAUUUAUUUGGUGUUUUAAAAGACUUUGGGGAUUUUCCAUUUUAAAAAUACCUUUAAUGCAUUUUUAUUUCAUUUAAUUGCAUUUUUAACUUGUUUAACCUUGUGAACUUUUGUUGGCCUUGGAUCAUGAUGAUUUUGACUUCAAGUCUCAUCAAACUCAAUGGAUCUUGGGUGUUGAUGGGGUGAAAAACCUAAUC
This 326-nucleotide long non-coding RNA is filed under the name Lathyrus oleraceus (garden pea). RNAcentral describes it as "Pisum sativum (pea) long non-coding RNA (PSAT_LNC041464)". The record is from RNAcentral. Lineage: Eukaryota; Viridiplantae; Streptophyta; Magnoliopsida; Fabales; Fabaceae.